RNAcentral lists this ribosomal RNA (449 nucleotides) under uncultured bacterium. RNAcentral describes it as "partial 16S ribosomal RNA". It matches the Rfam family "Bacterial small subunit ribosomal RNA", at positions 29 to 523 of the family's 1533-position model. The record is from RNAcentral.
AAUGAACGCUGGCGGCAUGCCUAACACAUGCAAGUCGAACGAAGGCUUCGGCCUUAGUGGCGCACGGGUGCGUAACGCGUGGGAAUCUGCCCUCAGGUUCGGAAUAACAGCGAGAAACUGCUGCUAAUACCGGAUGAUAUCGCGAGAUCAAAGAUUUAUCGCCUGAGGAUGAGCCCGCGUAGGUUUAGCUAGUUGGUGUGGUAAAGGCGCACCAAGGCGACGAUCCUUAGCUGGUCUGAGAGGAUGAUCAGCCACACUGGGACUGAGACACGGCCCAGACUCCUACGGGAGGCAGCAGUGGGGAAUAUUGAACAAUGGGCGAAAGCCUGAUCCAGCAAUGCCGCGUGAGUGAUGAAGGCCUUAGGGUUGUAAAGCUCUUUUACCCGGGAUGAUAAUGACAGUACCGGGAGAAUAAGCUCCGGCUAACUCCGUGCCAGCCGCCGCAGUAA